UCGGAUAUGGUGUAACGGCUAACAUUGCCGCCUCUCAUAUAUGAUCGAAACGCGGCAGCUCGGGGUUCGAUUCCCCGUAUCCGAG
Molecule: non-coding RNA, 85 nt
Organism: Pisolithus orientalis
Lineage: Eukaryota; Fungi; Basidiomycota; Agaricomycetes; Boletales; Pisolithaceae
Source: the annotation of a RefSeq genome assembly